AAGAAAUUAGUUUAUAUAAAACAAGAGAUUUCGACUCUCUAAAACUUAAAUUAAGAUUUCUUU
This 63-nucleotide transfer RNA is filed under the name Ophiophthalmus normani. RNAcentral's name for it is "tRNA-Arg". Lineage: Eukaryota; Metazoa; Echinodermata; Ophiuroidea; Amphilepidida; Ophiacanthidae. The record is from RNAcentral. RNAcentral also lists the same sequence under 1 other name.